UUCAACCGUGCAUUCAAUUUUUUUUCUCUGACUCUGUAUUGCUUUACCAUUGCGUGAAUUAUAUUUUUAUCCAGUUUUGCUCCUCUUGAUGAUUGGAAGUUAGCAUUGCUCCUGUUAGAGCAACAGUAUACCAAAGCAAGAACCAACCGAGCUAAGGAUGCUCUCUCUUGCUUUCCCAACAACUUCAGAAGAGAUUUCUGGAUCAGGUAUCAGGUCCAGAGCCUAUGGAGAGAAGCAACAUCAUGAUGCUGCUAUAUCUUAGUGGUCUUUCUUUCACAAUGGUGAUCUGCUUCUUAUCUGUUCUAGGUGUCACUGUCAUAGCUUGCUUGGCAUAACCUUCCUUCUUUUGAUGGUUGUCAACACACAUUUAAGUCACACAUACAC
Long non-coding RNA from Triticum dicoccoides, 384 nucleotides. RefSeq lists it as uncharacterized. The transcript has 3 exons. NCBI's taxonomy places the organism in Eukaryota, Viridiplantae, Streptophyta, Magnoliopsida, Poales, Poaceae. The record is from RefSeq and is a predicted model, not a curated record.